AGAAUGGAGAUUGGAUUCUUUGCUGGGCCUAAGUAACCUGAGAUUGUCUGACGGGGACUUCCAUUAGCCCCGUGUUCACUAAAGCUUGCCACACCACCAGCAAUGGUUUGCACCUUGCCUCAGCGUCUUUGUGGAUGCCAGCCAGUGAAAUCCUCCAGGUGCAAAGGGCAGCCUGAUGCUUGAAGGGACACCGGUCAUGCAGCAGCCCCAGAUUUCCCUCCCUUUGUAGUUGACUGAAGCAGCUUCAGACACAGCAGUUGGCAAGAAAUGGAAUGGUUCCUCUUUUUCCUGUUUCCUCAAUAUUUUCCUAAAAGACACAAACUUACAGAAGUUGUUUCUGAAAGUGGAGCUGACUGGAAAAGUACCCAGUUUUGUUUCUAGAUAUCUAUUUGUAGAAUUUUCCAAAGUCAGUCCGUCAGAGACAGGGGAUUCCAUCUCAAUCUACCUUGAAAGGCGAUUGAAUUAAACAAGCAUUUGAGGUAAAGCUGCAUCAGGCAUGAAUCCAGUUCUCAAGGAGCUCACUGCCAAGCUCAGCAGGUGAGACAGAGCACGAGGGGAAAAGGCAUUGGUGCACAAGAACAAGAACCACGGGACCAGUAAGUGGGGUCUUGUCCUGAGAGGCUGUGAGAAUCACUCCACUGCUUUUUCUUCAGGGUAACUUCAUCUCCCCACAUCAUGAUUUACUGUAAGGAUUGUGGGAAAUGCUU
Long non-coding RNA from Globicephala melas (long-finned pilot whale), 707 nucleotides. RefSeq lists it as uncharacterized. The record is from RefSeq and is a predicted model, not a curated record. NCBI's taxonomy places the organism in Eukaryota, Metazoa, Chordata, Mammalia, Artiodactyla, Delphinidae.